CUGCUUCUACUUUCUAUAUGGAGCUGGGAGCGUCUGCCUGUUGGACGCCCGAAGAACGUCAGGUUUGAUCCUUGGUAUGCAGAUGAACAUGACGAAUUACGGCGCCCCACGUGGUCUUACAAGUGGGAUAUCGUUUUCGAGAUGACGAACGAUGUCAAUCUCAUGUACCAAAAGUACAUUGCCGAGUUGGACACGAUUAUGGCUGAGCAGGUAAGGAGGUCAUUACUUUAG
Molecule: ribosomal RNA, 231 nt
Filed under: Triticum aestivum (bread wheat)
Lineage: Eukaryota; Viridiplantae; Streptophyta; Magnoliopsida; Poales; Poaceae
Description: partial small subunit ribosomal RNA
Source: RNAcentral